This 372-nucleotide ribosomal RNA is filed under the name uncultured organism. RNAcentral describes it as "bacterial SSU rRNA". It matches the Rfam family "Bacterial small subunit ribosomal RNA", at positions 526 to 896 of the family's 1533-position model. The record is from RNAcentral.
CGUAGGGUGCAAGCGUUACUCGGAAUCACUGGGCGUAAAGCGCAUGUAGGCGGGUCUGUAAGUCAAAUGUGAAAGCCCUGGGCUCAACCCGGGAAUGGCAUUCGAUACUGCAGAUCUUGAAUGCUCGAGAGGAUGGCAGAAUUCCAGGUGUAGAAGUGAAAUUCGUAGAUAUCUGGAGGAAUACCGGUGGUGAAGACGGCUGUCUGGUGAGACAUUGACGCUGAGGUGCGAAAGCGCGGGGAUCAAACAGGAUUAGAUACCCUGGUAGUCCGCGCCGUAAACGAUGGAUACUCGAUGUUCGGAGAGUUAACCCUCUGAGUAUCAAAGCUCACGCAUUAAGUAUCCCGCCUGGGGAGUACGGCCGCAAGGUUG